UAUUUGGGCUUUAAAGAAAGAAUUAAAACGGACAACCAAACAGAAGCAGCAACCUACGGAGCUGUGGAGCGAUUCAGGAUAAAGCAAACUGUAAACGCGAAUUGAGAAUAUCAUUGUGGAGCCGCAAGCAAAGGAGAUUAAUAUGGGUGACGCAUUGUUCAUGCUGGAGCAAGCUCUUAACUCCAAACGGGAGAAAUUGACACCUCAGGAAGCUGAUAUUCUCUCUUCAUGCAAAACUAAAGCUCUUGAGAAUUUCACUGAUAGUGCAAUUAUGGCUGGUACAGUUGCAUGGUCAGCAACUUGGAAACUCAAGAGAUCAUUUCGAGUCAACCUUGCAGCUGGGGCUGCUGCUUUCUUUGGGUUGAGGAGAUUGUUUAGAUCCUUGGAUUCCUCCAUAGAUUAUAUUCUUCAACUGGAUGGAAGUAGAAUGCAGCAGGAGUUAGCAGAUAUAUUGGUGACACGGUUUCAGAAUGAUCCUUCAAAAAUGCAACUUGUCUCCAAGCAUUUUUAUACGGAGAGAGUAUAUGAUGAUUCAACCUCUAAUCACCCUAAAUUAAGAUGGCGAUAUCGGAAUUCCUAUAGCGAUAUUCAUGUCAAUGGUCAAAGGAAACUUGAUUAUGACUUUUCUGAUAGUUCCUUUGCUGACUCUUAUGAUGACUCAAAAAAUAGUUCCCAAGGCAGCUCCGAGGAAGCCUUUGACAGCGCAAAAACCAAACGUGACACCAAGCAUAUUUUUAUAAACCCUGUUCUUGAUAGGGAGGAAGAGACACAUCCUCUUGACUAUCUUUUCGCUGUUGAUAGUCCAGUGGAAGAGAUUCAUCAUUCUAGUGCCCCAAAUAAACCAGCAGAGAUACCGAAUCGUGCCCAUAGAAGAUCUCACCGUAGGCAUCGGAUGCGUCGUCAUCAAGAUCUUUCCAACUCUAAAGUAUGAACCUUGCAACAGCUGGUUAACUGUUGACUGACAAAUCAACAAUCGAUGAGUUGAGAUAUAAAGAUUAUGCAACUGUAUAAUCUUGGUCGGGGGAAGAUAACAUAGAGAUUACUUAGCAUCAGUCUUUCGGAGGAGUGGAAGGUCCCAGAGAAUUAGGAAAUUGUUCACGAAAAAGGAGAAGGAUUGUGGAAGAAGCGUUAAUGGCAGAUUUGAUGAGAAAAGAGAUAUGUGGGCGGGCAAUCACGAAGGCGUUUCUAGGUCUACAUCUCCUUAUAGAUUUAGGAAAGACAGUGUAUUCGGAUCUGAAGAUGGUGGUGAUUUGAUCUCAUUGGGCGCUAUGAGCUUUAUUUCUGCGAUGAGAAGCUUCGUCAUGAAUGAUAGUUUGCUCCUAGAUUUUAGAGGAAGAAGUGGUUACAAUGAAGCAAAAUUCAGACGGAGUGGGUUUGACGAGAAGAAGAGAUUAAUUCAUGGACAUUGAUGGAGGAUUCUACAAUAUAAACAGGCGUGUUUUCAUUGAGAGAGUGUGAUUUCAAAGGCAUCGAUGAGUCAAGAUUCAUCGACUUGACGCUUGAUUAUUUUUCUUCAAAAUCAAAACCAACGUAUCCAUCUGCAAAACUAGGUGAUAGACUAUCUACAUUUGGGAGCACAGUAUGUGGGAAUUUCAGGGGCAACGAAGGAGAUGGAGAUUUAAGCAAUGUAGGAUCAUUGUAAAUGACCGAGGAAUCAAGAGAGGAAGAAGAAGCAUGAAGAGCUGGGGAUGGAUUUUUAGGCACCAUGGAAUGGAAAGAAAAAGGACAAGAAGAUCUCAUGUUCAAAACAUGAUAAUACAAUAUUAAUCGCAAAGUAUCAAUCAAUCAAUUAAGCAAGAAUUGAUGUCUUCACCAUCAUUCCUCUCAUCCUUGCCUUCCUCUACAUCUGUUGGAAGAAGACGAAGUUGAAGAGAACGUGGAGAAUGUGGAUCCACAAAUUUGAGUUAACGAAGGUCAGCAACAAUGGACAGAAUGUUGCAUAUGCUCCGUUUUUUAAUAAUUGAUGAUCUUUUUGCACCAAUUUAUAGUAUGGGAUAUUCACU
Molecule: RNA transcript, 2003 nt
Organism: Prosopis cineraria
Lineage: Eukaryota; Viridiplantae; Streptophyta; Magnoliopsida; Fabales; Fabaceae
Exons: 7
Source: RefSeq, a predicted model, not a curated record